Long non-coding RNA from Motacilla alba alba, 6420 nucleotides. RefSeq lists it as uncharacterized. The transcript has 3 exons. The record is from RefSeq and is a predicted model, not a curated record. NCBI's taxonomy places the organism in Eukaryota, Metazoa, Chordata, Aves, Passeriformes, Motacillidae.
GCUUAUCAUGCGCAAUUUGGCACAUGGGGCCGGUGAGGGGACAGUGGAGCUGGUCCCUGCAGCUGGGGCAGGUGACAUGGAGCCAGCAGAGCAGCAGUGGGUGCUGCAGGUGCAGACCUGUGUGCCACAGGAGAUGGGCAUGGAAAGGGUCCAACCCAGCCAGCAGAAACCAGGGUUGCUCAGGUGAAUGGUGCUGCCUCCUGUAGCCCCCUUUGCCCAUGGCUGUGCCCCAGGAGCCCAAGGCAUGACGAGCAGAGGAGGCUCUGUCUCGGCUGGCGGCUGCAGAGGGGCCGGGGCUGCUCCCUGCCUGCGGGGCAGGGCCCGGGGCAGCCUGGCAGCCUUUACCCAGCUCCAUGGGAUAUUUUUAUUUUUUUUCCAUUCAAGCCUGUGCAGAAUUCCUGGCAGGACUGGAGCUUUCGUCCAGAUUGCAGAUGCCCAAAAUAUUCUGGGCUGAGCAGACUGAGGCUGAGGUGCCCGUGGUUGGCUGAUUGAAGAGGACACAGGGGAAUGCAGAAAGACAGACAGACAGACAGACAGAGGAAAAGUGCCUGAGCAUGUAUGGCAGCAGUGGGAAAAAGGAUGGGGGAUGCCCCUGGGGUCUGCCCCAUCUCCAGGCGUGGCUCUCACACCAGCAUGGGAUAUUUUUACUGUUUUUCCCAGUCUGCUGAAGCCUGAGCUCAGUCCAGGGCAUGGUUUUGCCCCAGAUUAGCUUGUGCUACCAGCCAUUAAAUUUGGUUGCAUUGCUGUUAUGUUAUGCUUCUCAUUUUAAAUUAUCUUCUAAACUGUGCACACCUGGCAUCUUCAGGAGCCAGGAUCUGUGAAAUAAAAGUUAAAAUGCUAGUUGGAAUAAGGCAUUUAUGUGUAUUCUUUCACACACACAGAGGAAUGCACACAGCUACUGAUAAAAACCACGUUUGUUCAUACAUACAUGUUUCUAAUCAGAUUUAUAAUGUAUGUAAUAUAAAUGUUUUUCUACAUAUAAAAUUCAUUGGAAACAGGAAACCAAAUUAGUUUACCUUACUAAAGUGGCAUGAAAUAAAGAGCAGUGUGCACUGUUGAAAAGAAGGUAGGAUGUGGUUUUUGGAGGACUUUUCUUCCCCCAGGGCUCGUUCUACCAUGUUUAUGUCUAAAACCUGCUAAUUUUAAAGCCAGCUCACGGGAGACUAAUGGCAUGACUCAUUUAUUUCAUUUCACUUUCAUUCUGCCGAGCUCAGGGUUUGUUUAAGGUGCUCACAUGUCAGCAGCUCGUGCAAACACACCAGUGGAUGCUACAGGAAACCACAAAUGGCCGUGAGUAUCUGCACACACUGACCCCCCCUGUUUGUCCAUGAACAGGAGCCACUCCAGUGAGCUGAAUCUGAUUUUAAAAGAUCUUUUGAGUGUUAAACAUGUAAUAAGAUGCUCAGUGCUGUUUUCAAACCAAGACAUGUUCCUGGCUAAUUUAUAAAAGGCCACAGUCUCCACUUUUAUGUGGGCAAAUGCUUUUAAAAAUUGGCUCCUGGGAUUUUGGGUGCUCAUUGAUUCAUCCUCUCACAAGCCUCCAUCUCUGACCUUUCCAUUACCAAUUUUCCAUCUCCAACUGCUUCAUCAUCCUCCUGAGCAUGGGCACACAGCUAAUAAAUCUGAGUUUUUAAUUGCCCUCCCACACUGUGUGGCUUUCUCUGAGCCAUCAUUCCUGUCGCUGUGCCUUGUCGCAUCCCUCUGCUUCCAGGUUGGUGCUGCUGGAAUCAGCAAGAGGAUAAAACUGUUAUUUAGGUUUGGGUUUAGGUACAAAUCCCCUCAGUAACACACUCCAUGGCUGCGUGGCCCCACACGAUGUGUCUGACAUGGCUGAGCUGGCUCUGCCUGGGGUAGGUACAACCCCUCUGCUUUUAUCUCAUGCAAGGUCCCAUUUUUUUAUUCUUUACGCACCUGAAACAAUGCGAAAAAUUUGUGUAGGGAAAAAACCCCACAAACCCACCACAAAUUCCCUUGCUAAAGACAUCAGUAAGGGCGGAGGGUCCUGAUGGCCCAGUGGUGCCAAGACCCCUAGGGUGGAAAAGCCUCAAGAACACCCAUUGCCUCUGGUACCCAAGGGAGAUUUAUUUAUUUAUUCCCCCCAGUUUAUCUCCCUGUCAGGAAGUUUCCCACAGCCCUCCAGGAGUGGGUGCAGCAGUAUCAGCAGGCACAGGUCUAUCAGGCUGAGCAGAAGCUUUUCCAGGAACCAUCCAGUGCCACACGUGACCGUGCCCGGCCGAAGGGCGAUACGUGACAGGCAUUCACCGGCUUCCCGGCCGGUCAGUUGACUUUGUUAUUCAAACUAUUUUAGUGAUGGUUUUUAAUCCCAGGCUUAAGUUUUUCUUUUUUCUUUUUUUUUUUUUUUUUCUCCCUCUUCUUUUUUUUACUGUCUGAACAAGGGAAUCUCUAUGCUGGCAGGAUUCAGAGAGGCACAAAGGAGGGAAAAACAAGUUUCAGCCAGAAGAGAGAGAGAGAAAAAAAAAAAAAGGAUGCUGUUAGCAUUCCCUGUAUUUGAGGGGGUAAAAACAUUUUGCUGUCAGAUCUGUUUUAAAGGAUAAGUGCUAACAGCAGCCCAGUUACUAUGCAAAUAAAUUGUGUGCUCAGCCUUUCCCUCUCAGUGCAAAGUUUUGGGGCUUGUUAGCCAGGGGAGCUGGGCCGUGGGGGCUGGCAGUGCCCCCCUGUCCCCAGUGCUCCCACCCCAUCCUGGGGAUAGCCACUGGCUGGGGAUGCCACUGCCAAGCUCUGGACCUUGAAAGGAGCCCGUGGGGGUGCCCAAGUGUCCCCCAGACAAGGUGGGACAGCGUGGGGAGCACUGCAGAGGUGUGGGCUGGGUACCCCCUGCUCCUUGUCAAAAGCAGAUUCAGGCAGCUGGCAGCAGAGCCCUCGGCUGUGCCUCUGUGACAGGGGACACCCCAGGGAGAGGGAGGGCCUGGAAAGGGCAGAAAUCUCACCCAAGACAUCCCUUUUCAUGGCAGGCAAGUGGGGGAGGUCUGGCAGCAGCCACCCUGGGUUACAGGGCUGUCUCUCACUCGCUGCUGCCAGGUGGAAAGGGAGGUGAUGCCAGGACAUGAUGCCAGACUGUGCCUGGGUUCAUCCAGGUGAUGACCAGCGCCCCAGCACCGGUAUUUAUGGUGGCACCUCCCCAUGACAGCAGAGGGGCUGCACAUGCCCCAGCCCACACAAGCCAAACCUCCCCCUGACAGCCCCAGUGUGAUGGUUUCCUAUAAAAAAGAUUUGAAUUUGUCAUGCAAAUGACUGGGCAUGUGAGCACAGCUGCUGAGAGGUGGCCUGGGCUGGGUCAGCUGCCAGCACGGCCACAGGGAUGUGCCCAGGACAAAGUCUGGCCCCUCAAAGCUGCUCCCACCCCUGGAACCUGCCAAGCAGAUGGUGCUGCCAGGGCUGUGCUGCCAAAACCACCCAGCCCUUGCCACUCCUCCUGGUCCCUUUGGCUCACUGAAGCUUUUAAAACCAGCAUUGUGACCCCCCUGCUUGUGCCCUCCCUUGGCUUCUCUCUGCCUGCAGCAGAGCUGAGCUGCCCAAAAUGAGCUUUCUUUGUGGUGGGACCACAUAAGGAGGUGGAAGUGGAUGCCCCAUCAAGCAAUGCGCUAAAAAAAAAAAAUAAAUUAUACUUUUAAGCAAUUUCAAAAUUAUUUAAGCACUUGAGCCACCCUGAUCAGCCGGGAGGCAGGCAGCCUCUGCCUCUCACCCACACCCCGCUGCUCGUACUCUGCAGUUUAGCUCUUGUCCUUCUAACACAGCAAUCCUUUGAGCUCUUCCCACUUUCCCAGCCUAGCACAGGAUAGGGAAGUGCUUGGGCUCCUUUCCGGAGGCUGCCAGCACCACCUGGCAGCACAGCCCCGCUCCCACCGGGCAGGAGGACGGCAGAGGCCAUGAUUCUGCAAUUUCACAGCCGGCUUUUCGCAAGCAGGAAGGAGGCAGGUCGGGCUGCUCCUGCUGCUGGUUUGAUGUGGCUGUUUCUCGAAAUGAGCCCGGAGCAAAACUGAGCGGGAUCCAGGAAUGGCACUCGGCAGCGCCGGUGCUGGGAGCGCCGCCUGCGCCCCGGCUUCCUGGCAGUUUGGCACCUUUCAGGAAAUCAGACAGCUAAAUGGAAAAUCAUCACUCUCUUCACUUCAGAGCGCACUGCACACAUGGGUUUUUUCAAGAACAAACCCAUGUUCAGCAGCCUUGUCGCCCCCAUUGAGGAGGGGAGAUGUGUGUCCCCAGUGAAGACAAAAGCCCAGUUCAGCAGUGCCAGGCACCGCUGCCUGGGGACGGGCACCUCAACGCUGCUGCGCUGGGGCCAAGGGCUCCCCAGCACCUCCCAGCACCCCCAUCCAAAAAUCCUGCCCUCCCUUCUCCUCAGGAGGACUCCUGACAGGGAGAAAGAAGAAUUGCUGAAUAAUCUCCAGCCCCAAUAGCACUUCAAAGGCAGGGCCUGGGCCAGGCUGCGCUCCGCCAGCGCCGGGCUGCAUGCGGCGCUCGGCUCUUACUCCUUUGGCAGCCCCACAGCAGUUCCAGAAAGUAAUUACUUAAAAAGGAAAUAAAUGUCACCCACAUGGCUGUAAGCAAAACCCCGGGCAGGAUGAGCAGAGCCCCACCAGGAUCUGCAUUCUCACGCAACGCAAGCAAGGCAGGAGCGGGUUGUUUCCAUUCAUCGAGAUGGGCAUUUUACUCCGAGGGCUACUGGUGACAUUAGAAAUGCCCACCGUGGGCAUUUAAGCUCCCCAGGGCAGCCACAGCGUUGAACUGCCUCUGCUUUCAUCCUACAGCAUCCUCUUCCCCCAGGAUGGCUUUAGGCAUCACCACCUGAACCAGCAGCAGAUGAUGGUGCCAAAAAUGCAGCCCUUCCUGGCACCAGGCCCACUGUGAUCUUUAUGGAGAUGAACCAGAUAACUGGCAUGAUCAAAGAGAGUCAUUUUAUUUACUUUUACAGAUUAAUUCUUGAAGUUUGUAAUUGUCAAAACCUGAACACCAAACUUCUAAAGCAAGUUGAUUGGGGGAAGUCAAAUGUAGCACCAGAGCAGCGAAUGAGGCUCAAGGGUUAAAGUCUCUCUGCUGCUGGCACCUGCCUGGUUCUGCUGGAUCUGAGACACCCUCAGCAAAUCCCCUUAACCAGGACAGGGCUCUGGCAGACCACUCUCUUUCAGAGAAAUUCAAUCUUAGAAAAAUAACCCCCCAACUUAUUUUAAGCAAAUAACAGAAGGAAAGUGAUGGCCUGAAAACUCUGGGAUGAGAUCCCAUCUGCCCCUACUGCCUCUGGAGCUGCACCAGGAUGGCAGCACCUCCCACCCGCUGCUCCACGCAGCGUGAGGAAGCACUUGGCACCAGCCCACGGGGUUUUGUGAGCUCAGAAACCCUGAGGUGCCUCGGGACACGCAGAGCAAGGGCAGUGUGGGACAUGCUGCAGGAUGCUGGCAGCAGGGGCUCCUGUCACAGCCCACCCUGGCACACUGGAGGGUGAAGCCCAGCAUGGCCAGACCAGGUGGGCUGGGAAACACUCCCUAAGGCACUGCAGCCCAGCAAACAUGGUACCAUAGAGCAUCGAAUAAUCUUAAAAGUUAAAAUAGUUUAUUGCUGUCUUUGUAGAAAUGCACUUACAUCGCCUGUUCUCUUCCUUUAUUUGGCUGUUGGAUUACAGGCAUGAAAAGGUUACAUUUACCCAUUUGUUCAGUGACAUAACACCUUUUUCUCUAUUGCUCCACUCACGAUAUUCUCCUAAACCUUGCUGGCCAACAGCCCCAAAUCUCUUUUACAUAAAUACUGUAAAUGUCUCCAUAGGUUGCAGCAUUGUAACAAAAGAUCUACCAAAGUAGACAAAAUGUUCAGUAUUCUUGGUUGGUUUUUUGCAUUUAAAAAUAUACCUAAAUUUGAGAUAAUCUUAACAGAGUAACAAUUACAAUAAGAAAAUAGUACAGUGCGUUGACUAAAGGAAUAUUCUGCUCUCCUUCAAGCCAAUAUUCCCUUUUGCAUGUUGAAGUGAUUCAGCAAUUACUUAAGAACUUUUACCUACAUACAAUAAUUUAGUAAAAUGAGAAUUAAACAAGGCAGAUACUUACUACUAUUCUUCUGUCUGCAAUUCACAGCUCAUGCGAAUAAAAUCGCAAUAAAUAUUAAAAAAUAGUUUUUCUUUUGCUUUUUUUUUUUUUUCUGUAAGGCAUCUCUGAGUAUUACAAAGUUUUUGUACAACCAAAAAAUAAGAUUGCUUUUUUUCCAUGUUCUCCAAGUACCUCUGUACCUCACCAGUAAAUAAGAGGAUUGUAGGCUGGAUGAGGAAGGAAGGGCUGACGGGGAAGGGGGCAGAAAGAAGACCACAGGUGAUGGAAGCAGCAAGAAUCUGUCGUUUUCCUGUGAAACAUUUCAGCCGCUUUUAGAACAUCUUCAAGACAGUAUCUGUCCAGAUGGAAGGGAACAAAAAAAAAAAAA